RNAcentral lists this ribosomal RNA (253 nucleotides) under uncultured bacterium. RNAcentral's name for it is "partial 16S ribosomal RNA". It matches the Rfam family "Bacterial small subunit ribosomal RNA", at positions 524 to 776 of the family's 1533-position model. The record is from RNAcentral.
UACGUAGGUGGCAAGCGUUAUCCGGAUUUACUGGGUGUAAAGGGCGUGCAGGCGGGAAAGCAAGUCAGAUGUGAAAACCACGGGCUCAACCUGUGGCCUGCAUUUGAAACUGUUUUUCUUGAGUACUGGAGAGGCAGACGGAAUUCCUAGUGUAGCGGUGAAAUGCGUAGAUAUUAGGAGGAACACCAGUGGCGAAGGCGGUCUGCUGGACAGCAACUGACGCUGAGGCGCGAAAGCGUGGGGAGCAAACAGG